UACGUAGGGUGCAAGCGUUGUCCGGAAUUAUUGGGCGUAAAGAGCUCGUAGGCGGUUCGUCGCGUCGGCUGUGAAAACCCGGAGCUCAACUCCGGGCCUGCAGUCGAUACGGGCGGACUUGAGUGUUGCAGGGGAGACUGGAAUUCCUGGUGUAGCGGUGAAAUGCGCAGAUAUCAGGAGGAACACCGGCGGCGAAGGCGGGUCUCUGGGCAACUACUGACGCUGAGGAGCGAAAGCGUGGGGAGCGAACAGG
RNAcentral lists this ribosomal RNA (253 nucleotides) under uncultured bacterium. Its description in RNAcentral is "partial 16S ribosomal RNA". It matches the Rfam family "Bacterial small subunit ribosomal RNA", at positions 524 to 776 of the family's 1533-position model. The record is from RNAcentral.